GCGACGCCGCGUGCGGGAUGAAGGCCUUCGGGUCGUAAACCGCUGUUACGAGGGACGAAGGCUUGCGCGGUGAACAACCGCGCAGGAUUGACGGUACCUUGAAAGAAAGCCACGGCUAACUCCGUGCCAGCAGCCGCGGUAAUACGGAGGUGGCAAGCGUUGCUCGGAUUUACUGGGUGUAAAGGGCACGUAGGCGGUCUUAUAAGCCCUGCCUAAAAUGCUCUGGCUCAACCAGAGUACGUGGUGGGGGACUGCAAGACUGGAGGAUGGGAGAGGCGAGCGGAAUUCCCGGUGUAAGGGUGAAAUCUGUAGAUAUCGGGAGGAACACCAGUGGCGAAAGCGGCUCGCUGGACCAUUUCUGACGCUGAGGUGCGAAAGCUAGGGGAGCAAACAGGAUUAGAUACCCUGGUAGUCCUAGCCGUAAACGAUGGACACUAGGUGUUGGCUCCAUUAGGAGUCAGUGCCGUAGGAAACCCGCUAAGUGUCCCACCUGAGGAGUACGGCCGCAAGGUUGAAACUCAAAGGAAUUGACGGGGGCCAGCACAAGCGGUGGAACAUGUGGUUCAAUUCGAUGCUACGCGAAGAACCUUACCCAGGCUUGACAUGCAAGGAGUAGGAACCUGAA
This 625-nucleotide ribosomal RNA is filed under the name uncultured bacterium. Its description in RNAcentral is "bacterial SSU rRNA". It matches the Rfam family "Bacterial small subunit ribosomal RNA", at positions 391 to 1005 of the family's 1533-position model. The record is from RNAcentral.